UACGGAGGGUGCGAGCGUUGUCCGGAAUCACUGGGCGUAAAGGGCGCGUAGGCGGCCUGAUAAGUAGGGGGUGAAAUCCUGCGGCUUAACCGCAGGGCUGCCUUCUAAACUGUCAGGCUCGAGCACAGUAGAGGCAGGUGGAAUUCCCGGUGUAGCGGUGGAAUGCGUAGAGAUCGGGAGGAAGACCGGUGGCGAAGGCGGCCUGCUGGGCAGUUUCUGACACUGAUGCGCGACAGCGUGGGGAGCAAACAGG
This 253-nucleotide ribosomal RNA is filed under the name uncultured bacterium. Its description in RNAcentral is "partial 16S ribosomal RNA". It matches the Rfam family "Bacterial small subunit ribosomal RNA", at positions 524 to 776 of the family's 1533-position model. The record is from RNAcentral.